UCUCCCCUCCCCGCAAGUGCUUUGGCACCGCCACCCCUGGGAGCUCCUUCCUUCGGGUUUAUUGAUGGACCUGGGCCUCGGGCCAAACUCUGAAGCCCUUCCUAGGGCGGUAUCUCUGGAGCCCCUCCAAGCUGAGGCCCAGGGGUCAGUCUGCAAAAGAGAUCCCCGCCAGCCUGGCAUUACAAGAUGGAGAGCCUCCUCCUAGAAGCCCCCCCGGAAUCAUGCUGACCUAGGGAACAAACGUGGGCUCCUGUCUGGCUGGGCGUUAGGUAGCUGGAACCAGAGAGAGACCAUGGGGAACCCCUGAAGCUACUGAAGCAGGGCAGUCAGACAUAGACUUUAGGAAAAUCUCUUCCUUAGACCGAUGAGGACAAAUGAAAAUGGGCAAUACUAAGAGCAGGACACCACUUGGGCAAUUAGAGUAUGCAGAUGAGACUGAGUGGACCUGAACUAAGGCGAUUGUGGGGUAAGUAAACAGAAAAGGCAAUAUGUGACAGGAUGUUCUGAGCGAAGGACAAGAUACAGCACACAAUUGGGAUAGGGAAGAAUGGAGAAUGAGCAAAGGAAGCUGGAAAAUGGAGGGGACUCAUGAUAGAACUUAGGCAGAGAUCCCCAUCCCAGCUCAGGAGAAGGAACCUUCAAAAGAUCUGUAGCAGUGAAACAGGAUCCAAGUCUAAAACCCUCCACCACCCACACACACAAACACCGCCCCCGCCCCCCCCCCCCCCAACAAUGACUCGGGAUUCCUACGGAACUUGGGUCCUUUGGAUAGAACUUUGAGGAGCACAUCUGGGAUUCCCAAUUCUACCUUCCUCUCUUCCCCUCUAGCUCUUAGCUCUGACCCACUUCCACUGGCAUGAAGACCUUAACCAAGACACAUGCACUGAUGGGUGGAUGCAAUGGCCUGCCCAGCCACCUUGGACCACAAAUCUUGGCGAAAGUUCAAACCAUUGAGUCUCCUCUUUGACUUGCCUUUGGGAGGGUCUGAAAGCUCCUUCAUAAAAGCUCACAGUCUCCUGUGUCAAGCUCUCCAAGUGCUGGCUCACUAAUAAGCAGGAAGAUUAUGGAAUUUUUCAAAGCCUCCACAGGAAGACUGAGGACCCAGGGAAGAAAAGAACCCAGGUUUUCCUGACUCCAGGCCCUGCACUCUGUCCACUGCACCACCUAGAUGCCCAGUGUACACAUGUGAGUAAAUUGAAAAUAGAUACAAUGAAAAUCCAAAUUUGGGGUGGCCUGUGUCGGAAGAGAAUUUUUCUCUCCAUUAUGUCGCUUUGUUAGCGUCACCCCUCAGUGACGGGGAGGUCAAGGUAUGGACAGGCCCUCAGAGAAAGGAAGUUGGAGAACCCAGGAACCCAUGAGGCAGGAAGCUGAUUCCACAGGCAGUGGCAUCACUGGGAGGCCCAAGCAAAUUAAGAAACUAUGAUUGGUUCCUGAGAUGUGAUGGGGAAGAGCUAGUGGGUGGAGAGAACAGCUUCUAAGUGCAAGACCAGCAAGUUCCUGGGGGAUUCUGGCUGGAGCAAGGAACCUGAAUGAACUCUCAAUGGUGGUGAGCUUCAAUCCAUCAUGGUGGCCAAUAGAGUAGUGAGCUAAUUAACUCUACCUCUUUCCUACCUUUCCUUCUCUCUAUUCUUAUUACUUUGAUUUAAUAAAGUUUGAAAGCUACUCUCAGCCUCUUAAUUUUAAUUAUGACACCUGGGGGAAUGUGGGAUGCAGCUUUUCUAGAGGAAGAGGUAAGAAGGAAACACAUUCAUUAUAGACAAUGGGAGAGGCAGGAGAUGAAAUCUUAUUUUAGGGGAAUCAAGUAUAACCCUGUCUUGCUGGAAUGCACCAUAGGUGAGAGAAUUAGAGAAAUCUGGGGAAAGAGAUUGGAACCAAAUAAUGAAGAGGUUUUGAUUUUUCGGAUGUUAUUAUUGCUGCCUUUUGCUCUUUCAUCCAAUUAAUUUUCACAGGUCCCUCUCUAAUCCCCUCCUCAUCCGAGAACCCUUCCUGGUAAAGAUAAAAACAAACAAAAUGAACCAAUGCCUCAACUAUAUCUGACCAAUGUCAAAUCAGCAAGCCUUUAUUAGAUGCCUACUGUAUGCCCGUAAAUGGACGGAUGUGUGUCUUCUCAUGUCUUCUCUGAAUGGACCCAUCCACCAUCACCUCACAAACUACAGACUUGUCCUUUGGGCCUUAUUGCUCCUGUGGAUUCUAUUGUUAACCUGGUCCUGCUUCUUUCGUGGGACAUCAGGUCAGGGAAGUGGUCUCAUGGCUGCUCUCUAAAUUCCUCACAUCGUCCUAAGAUUCCGUGUCAUUCAGAUACUGCCCUGUGUUUAACUGUUCCCCAAGUGAUGGGGAUCCACCUUAUUUCUCUAACUCUUUGCUACUAAAAAUGUGCUGCCAUGAAGAUUUUGUGCUGGGAUCAAGCCAUUCUUUCUUUGAGCUGCUUAGGGCCUAUUCUUGCCCGCCCUGUGAUCUCUGGAUUCAUGGGCAAGGGCGCUUUUAUCACAUACCGUCUAAUUGCUUUCCAGAACAUCUGGGCCCUGGAUGGGUCCCCCAGUGGUGUAUUAGCGUCGUUGUCUGCUUGCAUCAAUGCCAUCAUGAACUGUUUCCACCUUGUGUGAUUUCCCCAGGCUUCUGAGAGGCAAGCAGCCAGGAUUAUGGUGGUUUCUUCAUUUCUCUUAUCAUUGCGAUUUCAAGUAAUUUUUCUUAGGAUUGCUAAAGGUUUGGGUCAUUUUUAUUUGAAGAAUUGAUUCUCCAUUGGAGAGGAGGGGCCCCCUUCCUCAUCACCACUGCCGACUGCUGAGCAACCUGGGGUCCUGGGAGUGUCGGCAUCCCCCUGCCCCCCAGUCUGGUUUUACAGCUCAGCCCUCCUAGCUACCAUCCAGGAAGGUGGCUCCCAUGAGAAGCAGCCCACCUUCCCCCCAUCCAACAGAGGCUAGCUAGAGCAGCAGGGUACCCUGAGGAGGAGGCAGAAGGUCAAACCACCCCCAUCCUCACCGCCACCUGCCCCCAGACCCUGAUGGAGAGAGCCCAGGACAGCCUUGGGAAGAGCAAUGCUUCCAGCCAGGGCCCAGGCCAAAGUGGUACCAGAUAGCCCUGGGUUCUGUGGAAAGGGAACGUUCCCGGGCUCGGGAUCAGAGAUAUUUCUUCCUAAGGGCAGUGGAUCAGGAAUUUGACCUCCGAUGUCCUGGUCUUGCAUGGAAGAAUCUUUUCUCUGCCCUCCGGUGGGCCUUUUGUCCGUGCUAUCUGGCUUGGUGUAUCAGCUGUUUCGCUUUAGUAUACAACUGAAUUGCAGAUUGGAAAAUUCUCCUUUAAUAAUUUCUCAUUAACUUUUUUAAACCCCUCCCUUUGGUUUUAGAAUCAAUGCUGUGAAAUGAUUCAAGGCAGAAGAGCUGUAAGGCUCUGGGGGUCAAGUGACUUGCCCAGGGUCCCACAGCGAGGAAGUGUUGAGGUCACAUUUGAACCCAGGACCUCCAUUUCUGGGCCUGGCUCUCCAUCCACCGAGCCGCCUCACCGCUUCUCUUACUUCUUCAUCUUAAAAGAACUAGAAGAAUUGGGAACAAGUGCCCAGGGCUCCUAGAUGUCCCACAACGGAUGACUUCCCACUUGGACUCCUGCUUCUCCCAUUGUAUGGGGGAGCCGGGAGCAAAAGGCAACUAAAAAAACUCGUCUGCUCUACCUGGCGCCCUGGCCUGUGACUCUGGGAAGGGUGGCCAGAAGCCUCCUGGCCAGAGAGGGCUGACGCAACAGGGCUCUGUUGUCCUGCCCAAAGGCGUCCGCCUCCCUUGCCCAGAAUCUUCCAAGUCUGGAGACUGGAGAUGGCCCAGGCCAGGAGGUGACGCUGGCCAUGUCUGCCCAAGCCAGAGCAGCUGCUUCCGCUGCCUUCGUGCCCUUUGGAGCUAGGAAGAGCUUGACCACACCAGAAGUUUCUGUUGGAUCUUGGAGGAAGCAGGAUGGCACCAGAGGCCUUCUGGGGCAGGGCAGUGCCCAGACUUCCCCGGAGCAGGCACUGCGGUGGCUGAGAAGGGAGAGAUGAGGAGGGCCUGGACUGGGCAUGGCGCUGUGCGGGCGGAUUAGCCAAGCGGACCAGACCGACAGGAAAUUCCUGGGCAGCUCGGAACAGGGAACUCCUCUCUGAAAAGAGUUUCUAGCAAGAAGACGCAAAAGUUAGUGAAAAGGGGCGAGCAGGGAGCUCUUCCGGGCCCAGCACCUAUCUGGGCAGCAGGCCGGUCAGACUAACCGACUCCCAGCAGAGAAAGGGGAGGAAGGAGAG
This is a non-coding RNA of Monodelphis domestica (gray short-tailed opossum), 4255 nucleotides long. The record is from RefSeq and is a predicted model, not a curated record. Lineage: Eukaryota; Metazoa; Chordata; Mammalia; Didelphimorphia; Didelphidae.